RNAcentral lists this ribosomal RNA (492 nucleotides) under uncultured bacterium. Its description in RNAcentral is "partial 16S ribosomal RNA". It matches the Rfam family "Bacterial small subunit ribosomal RNA", at positions 29 to 507 of the family's 1533-position model. The record is from RNAcentral.
AGUGAACGCUGGCGGUAGGCCUAACACAUGCAAGUCGAACGGCAGCACAGUAAGAGCUUGCUCUUACGGGUGGCGAGUGGCGGACGGGUGAGGAAUACAUCGGAAUCUACUUUUUCGUGGGGGACAACGUAGGGAAACUUACGCUAAUACCGCAUACGACCUACGGGUGAAAGCAGGGGAUCUUCGGACCUUGCGCGAUUGAAUGAGCCGAUGUCGGAUUAGCUAGUUGGCGGGGUAAAGGCCCACCAAGGCGACGACCCGUAGCUGGUCUGAGAGGAUGAUCAGCCACACUGGAACUGAGACACGGUCCAGACUCCUACGGGAGGCAGCAGUGGGGAAUAUUGGACAAUGGGCGCAAGCCUGAUCCAGCCAUACCGCGUGGGUGAAGAAGGCCUUCGGGUUGUAAAGCCCUUUUGUUGGGAAAGAAAAGCAGCAGGUUAAUACCCCGCUGUUCUGACGGUACCCAAAGAAUAAGCACCGGCUAACUUCGUG